Molecule: transfer RNA, 63 nt
Filed under: human gut metagenome
Also listed under: 4 other names
Rfam family: tRNA
About the family: Transfer RNA (tRNA) molecules are approximately 80 nucleotides in length. Their secondary structure includes four short double-helical elements and three loops (D, anti-codon, and T loops). Further hydrogen bonds mediate the characteristic L-shaped molecular structure. tRNAs have two regions of fundamental functional importance: the anti-codon, which is responsible for specific mRNA codon recognition, and the 3' end, to which the tRNAs corresponding amino acid is attached (by aminoacyl-tRNA synthetases). tRNAs cope with the degeneracy of the genetic code in two manners: having more than one tRNA (with a specific anti-codon) for a particular amino acid; and 'wobble' base-pairing, i.e. permitting non-standard base-pairing at the 3rd anti-codon position.
Source: RNAcentral
AGGUAGCUCAAUGGUGGAGCACUCGGCUGUUAACCGAUAGGUUGUGGGUUCGAGCCCCACCCU